AGGGUCGGGCAGACCUGGGGGAGGGUGGAAGGGGGGUGGUCCCCCAAUAUCUUGUGUUCUGAAAGGGCAGAUUCAGAGCACUGGCGCUGGGAGAGCCGGGGGUCCCCACUCUGGGUCCUGAGGGAGCCCCCUGGGGAGUCUCUGUACUCUGGGGAGUUGCCUCCCUGCACCUGGGCCAGCCUGAGCCAGGACUCUGGGCGUCUCUGAGGAGCAGAGCCCCUCCCUGGGACCCCCAUGUUGGGGACCCCCUGGGACCCCGUCCUGCCGGCAGGAAUCCAUCUUGGGCCCGAGCAGGAAGCUGAUGCGGUUCCACAUCAUGUCCCACAUGACCCGCGGCCACCGCAGUGCCCAGCUCAGCAAGAAGGAGUUGGCUUCUUGCACAGCUGUAACCCGUGCUACACCACCAAGUCUGCAACUCUAAGGGGUCGGUCCUGUCCCCCCAUGAGGUCUAUGUGAGGGUCUAGCUGCUCAGGUUUGUCAUGGAGCACGUGUUCUGGAGCAGGACCUGGAGGCCUUGGUCAGCUCCUGCACAGAGCCAUGGAGGAACGGGGACACAGGGCGGAGCGGAGAGCACACGGGG
Choloepus didactylus (southern two-toed sloth) is the source of this 580-nucleotide long non-coding RNA. RefSeq lists it as uncharacterized. NCBI's taxonomy places the organism in Eukaryota, Metazoa, Chordata, Mammalia, Pilosa, Megalonychidae. The transcript has 3 exons. The record is from RefSeq and is a predicted model, not a curated record.